Molecule: long non-coding RNA, 6871 nt
Filed under: Sus scrofa (pig)
Lineage: Eukaryota; Metazoa; Chordata; Mammalia; Artiodactyla; Suidae
Description: lncRNA (ENSSSCG00040055745.1)
Source: RNAcentral
CUUUUCUUUUUUCUUUUUUUUUUUUUUUUUGUCUCUUGUCUUUUUAGGGCCGCACUUGUGGCAUAUGGAGGUUCCCAGGCUAGGGGUUGAAUCGGAGCUAUAGUUGCCGGCCUAUGCCACAACCACAGAAACGCUGGAUCUGAGCUGAGUCUGUGACCUACACCACAACUCACGGCAAUGCCGGAUCCUUAACCCAUUGAGCGAGGCCAGGGAUCGAACCCGCAACCUCAUGGUUCCUAGUCGGAUUCGCUAACCACUGAGCCACGACAGGAACUCCAGCAGCUUCUUGAUGUUGCUAGUCUCUGGGGAAUGUCAUCACCCCUUGUUUGGCUUUCAUCAACUCCUCUAUCUUUGUAACCAAGUCCCUGUAUUAAACUCCUGCUUGAAAAUCUUAGGCUGUUUUGCUUUAUUUCUUUUUGUUUUCUUAGCCAGAUCCUGACUGGGGUGGAUGGUCUCAUUAACCCAAUUUUAAAAAAUUAUGAUAUAAAUACAUUGAAUACAUUUAUUAUUAAAAUUAUUACAAUUAUAAAAAUUAUGAUAUGAAAUACAAACAUAGUAUCAUCAUGUACACCUUAAACUAACACAAUGUUAUAUGUCAAUUUUAUCUCAUUAAAACUGGGAGAAAAUGAUGAUGUAGAUCGAUCUUUAUCAUUAUUCAUUAUUCUACCUUCCUUUCCCCAUCUUCCACUACCCUGAAUGCCUCAUCUUCUCCCCACAGUGCCUAAAUUUUGAAGCUCUUUUAAGUUUUCCUCAGAUGUAAUCUGUUCUCAACUAAACUUCACCCUGUUAGUUAAUUCUUACUAAAGUGUGAGAGACUAAGGACUUUCCCUCUUUACCUCUUCCAGGAAUCUCUGUAUUUGAACCAGAAGCCAACUCUUAACACAAAGAAGUGAAGUUUUACAGGAGUGAGAACUGUUGGCAGAAGCUUUUUCUGAUAACUUGAGAACAUGGUUCAGAGGCAGAAGUCACUGCAGCCACUUGCAAGAUUAUGUCAGACUGCAUUCUGUGGAGUGAACUCUGGGGAAGUCGGGAAAACAGUGUCUCACAAACCUGAGUGUGCAGCAGAAUCAUGCAGGUAGUGGGUUGUUAAAAGAUUGCCAGGCCCUGCCCACAGAAUUUCUGAUUUAGCAGGUCUGCAGAGGGGCUUAAGAAUGUGAAUUUCAAGUGACGCUGAUGCUGCUGGUCUGGGGACCACCUCUGAGAACCACUGGGCUGAAAUAAUAACAUCACUGGUUGAGAAUUUAUCAUAUACCCCAAAUAGUUUGAAACCUUUUUCAAAUAGCAAAUCUUUCAGUUCCUGCAAGAAAUAAUGUGGAAACUGAGGCACAGAGAGGCUAAAAAAAGUCUUCAAGUCACACUACUCAUUCCUAGCAGAUCCAGGAUUUGAAUCCAGAGGGUCUGACCCCAAAGUCUGUGCUUCUAGCCAUUGUGCUAAAGUCCAGGCUGUGGGAAAUGGAGAGAUCUGGAUUCUGGCUCUAGUUCUAGCUGUGUGAUCCUAGGCAAGUCACUAGACCUACCUGUGCCUUGGCUUCCUCAUCUGCAAAAGGGGGAUCCUAACAGUUUCUGCCACCAUGUUAUUAUGCCAACUUCAUGAAUGAGGGAGAUGGAGAUUCUUCGCUCUGCAGCCCCUCAGCUAUCUCUCAGUUCACCCCCGGCUACAGGGCAGGACUCCUGGGCUUGCUGAUGGUGUCCCUAUUUCCUGCCUAAGGGCUUUCUCCCACCCCACUGCAGCCUGCUCAGCCUCUCUGCCCCUCUUCGGGGCAGUUUGGAGGUGCAUUCUACACAGCUCCUCAGAGGGGCUCCAGAGAGACUUGCUCAUUACCAUACUGUCUGGUCUACUCAGGCUGCUAGAAAAGAAUACCACAGACAGGGCAGCUUAAGCAACAGACUCAUUCCUUACAGUUCUGGAGGCUGGAAGUCCAAGGUCAAGGUGCCCAUAGAUUCAGGUGUCUGGUGAGGGCUCUCUUCCUGGUUUGUAGAAAGCUGCCUUCUUGCGUUGUCUGCACACACAAUCCCACCACGGGAAGCUUUCCCCUCAUGACCUCAUCUAAACCCGCCUGAUUUCCUGAGGCCCACCUCCUAUACCAUCAUAUUGGGGUUAGGGUUUCAACCUCUGAAUUUUGGGGGGACACAAACUUUCAGUCCCUCACACACCUUUAACUGUCUUCCUCUCUGCUUUUCACUCUCUGAAGUCUCUGCUUCCCAGGACCACCUGCCAUGAAAACCACCUAUGCUCAUGUACCUAUUUCAAGAUUUGCUUUGGGGUAAACACACCCUAAGAUAAAUGACAUGUACAAACUAUAUAAACUAUUUUGCACGAUGCCUGGCAUGUCUAAUAAUAAAAAUAAUAAUAAUGAUAAUAAUAGAGGCUCACAGUUAGAGAUUAUUCCUUAAAUGCCAGGCCUUGACACAUUCAACAAAUGUAGCUGCUCUUGUUUUAUCAUUAUCAUUAUUUACCUCUAAUCUCUCCAGGCCCCCACAAGAGAAAUUGUUCAACAAGUCAUUUUUCUCUCCUCUGUUGUACUUUAUAACACCCUUUUCAAUUCCCUUCAUAGGGCUGAGUUUAUCUCAUCCAUUCAUCUGUUCCCAUGAACAAUGUACCUGCCUCCCUCAGGACCCCAGGAUGAAUCUCCUGGAGUCUCUGCAUUGUUGCCUUUGUGGCAACAGUAAAAAUUGGUUUUGAUGUAACAUUGAUGACUAAACAUUUUAUUUUUCUGUGUAGGCAAAACAAUCUGUUCUCACGGCUUAAAAUUUUUCUUUUUUUUCUGACAUGGGGCGAAAAAUGAAAACAUUUAUGUAACCCUAAUGUAUUUUUUCCUUCUGAUUAUAAAGAAUUUAAGACACUGCGGGGGGUGCCUACUGGGCAAGCUGGCUAUCCUCAGAAUGUAAGCCCCAUGAGAGCGGGAAUCAUGUCCAUCACUCUAUUGGCAGGGCUCCCUGUACCAAGGAGGAACCCCAGAGCUGGAACUGGAACCCAUCCUGGAAUCCCCCGGCCCACAGGGCUGCUGCAAGGCAUUCUGGGAGCACUAUGCAAAUGUGGUCUUCAGGCUCCUCCCCCAGCCUGACUGCUUUAUUGGGGGCAAAGCCUUGGGCUCACUGUCCCCCUGAUCCUGUCCCCCAGCCCUGACCCCGGGGCGUUGGACAGCAGGACUCUCGCCGAGGGCCUCUGAAGCACGUGUUCUGGGCUUGUCCUGGUAAGGACGGAGCUGUUAGACUGACCCCACCGAGUCCCCGGCAGACCUGCUGAAUGGGGCUUUCCUUUCCCUGACCCCGGGGUCAUCUGUUUUCAGAAGGUGAAAUAUGGCCGCCUGGCUGAGGACAGAAGCUGGGGAGAUAAGCGCCAGGGAGGAGCCUGCCGUCCAACAAGCCGUGACUAAUGAUGAUUGGGGCGUGUUUGGCGGGGCAGAAUUUAUUUGGCUCCUGGUUACCUGGGGAUUAACUCUUUGUAGGAUCUUGUGCCCCAGCCCAGAGAUGCCUGUUUUCCUAUUCACCCAAGCGCAGGGUUUGGUGUGUAGCAGUCAUUCAGUAGGUGUCUGUGGUGGGGAAGGAGGAAAGGAGGGAGGAAAAAAGAUGCACAAACAUUCUCUGACCUUGAGCCUUCAGCAUAAUAAAGUCAGUUCACAUUUAUCAUGUGGUUCCCACGUGCCAGGAACUAAGGGCCAAACAAUUUCCACACAUCCCCACGUUUAACCCUCACAAAUCUAUAAAGCAUAUACUAUUAGAGAAGCCCAUUUAACAGACAAGGACAGGGAGACUGGCAGAUUACUUUGCUCUUUUAAAGGAUGAGGCAGUGGAGGUCAGGGCAGGCCUGCUUUAAUUGAGACUUGGUCUUUGCCUCUUCCACUCUUGAGCUCUCAGCUGCUGGGCCGAACCAUCUUCUGGUAUAAACUCUGGAGUGCUCCUGCAUAUUGCAUCAAUCAGGGUUGCUGUAUUUUUCUUUGUAGUAAACAACCUCAAAAUCCCAGAAGUGUACAACAACAAGUAUUUAUUUUCACACUUGUGGGUCUGUAGGUUGGAUGUGGCUCAGCUGGGUCAGACUGGUCUCAAGGCUUCCUGUUGGAAUCGGGUUUUUCUGCAUGGGUCUCACACUGAAGAGGUAGGGUGACUUGGAUGUGCCUUUUGGCCGUGGAGGCUAAGUGUACAAACCCAACCAACGGAUCCAUCCAAAGCCUUUGCUCUGCCCACAUCCCUAGCAUCCCAUUGGCUGAAGCAUAUCACAUGGUCAAAGUCAAGGGGUGGAUACUCAUUUGACCGCCAUGUUGCUGGGGCAAGGAUGGGGAAGUGCAUAAAAGUCUCUAGUAUUUAGGGAGUGAAGAAUGUGAACUAACCGAUCUACGCACAUAAAUAUUAAACAAUUGAAUGGCCUCUGAUGGGUUGGCACUUUAAUGUCAUCUACUCUGGGGCUACUUUACCUCUCUCCCCACCAGGGGACCCUGAACAGUCUGGAGACAUUUUUGGUUGUCAUGACUUGGGUGGGAAGUACUAUUGGCAUCUAGGGGGUGGAGACCAGGAACGCUCCCAUCCUCCUCCUGUGCCCAGAGCAGCUCCCUACGACAAAGAGUUAAAUGCUGCCCAAGUGCCAAUAGAGCCAAGGGUGAGAAACGCUGAUGGAAAAUAGCAACUGACCUGAACAGGGGGCUUGGGAGCCUGUUACAAAUACAGAUUCCAGGGCCCCCAAUGUAGAGAUCUUGAUUCAGAAGGGCUGGGGUAUCACCUUGGUAUCCAUAUUUCUGACUAGCUAUUUAGGAGAUUUUGAUCCCCUAAUCAGAGCCUGGAAAUUACUUCUUUAGGUCCUUGUUAUGCCUGGACAGGAACUCAAAACCAGAGGGUUUAAACAGAACAGUCUUUUUUUGAGCACUUCCUAACAUGACCCUUUCCAGAAACUCUGCAACAUUCACUUCCCAGCUGCCCCACGGUUCAUGGUUGUUUGCCUGGGAAUCGAAUCUCCAAACGGCCUGGGCAAUCUACAGUUUCUCUGCUUCCUCUGCCUUUCACUUUUAAAACCAGGAGGAAUUUCAGGGAAAUGUAAUCCAUAUGUUUCAGAAUCAUUUACACUUAAAUCAUGAAAGUACUGCCGUGGUUUUUAAGAGCUAUUUGAUGUCCAAAACACCUUAUGAGGAUUUUAAAAAUAAGCUUUUUAAAGUCUCUUUUUACUUUCAGUUGGAUUUCGCUCUGGGUAAGUGAAUUCAAAUGAUAUGAAGCUGGCGGGGGUGGGGUGGGGGUAGGGGGUGGAGGGGGGGCUACUAGAAACUCCAAACCAGGAACCUGAAGGAAAUUCGACACUCAACAAAUCAGGUCUUCGGCUGUCACCUAAAGCAUCCCUUGACAUGCAUCCAUUUCAUGCAAUAAAAUCGAUCUUAUUUUCCCAACGAUUAUGGAUUCAAGCGGUCACUCACCGAGGUCUUUAGACAUCUUCCUUCUCAUUUAGCGCCUCGGUGUUCCUUGGGUUCCAUUUUUAAACCAUUUCGACUCGCUCUAAAUGGAGAUCCAAUUCCUCCAUCCAGUGGGUUUGUUAUUUCUAAAGAGCAACCCCGUCCUGCUGCCAACAUUACAUUUCACUCUUCUCUCUCCACUCCAGGGAGACCCAAGUGGGAGGCCACAUUCUAGAACUGACCAUACACUCGCUUUCAGCGCAGGUGGGCCUGCCCAUUUGGAAAACUAAUUUGGCAAGAUAUCUAAUCGAAGACAUGCUUAUGUGCAGCAAUGCUGCUUCCAAGGAUCUAGCCCAAGGAAAUAAUUCUAAGUGUGGAGGAAUGCAUAUUUACACCUGGAAAUAUUCAGCACUGUUGAUCACAGAGAAAAUGGAAAACAACCUAUCAAAAUAAUAAUAGCAAGAGGGUUCUUUCACUGCUCAUUUCUCUGCUUCAUGCCACCAUGAAUGAACACUGGUGGAUAUUAAGGCUGUGUGAUAUCCAUAGGCAAGGGGAAGAGAGUGGUCUCUAUUUGUCACGUGAAAGGAGAUGAAUUAUAGGUACUCCAGGAAGUUCUUAAGAAUGUGUUGGAAUUAACUGGACAAAAGGAAGAGGGGAGACAUUCCAACCAAGUGGAUAACAUAAGCAAAAGCAGAGAAGUGAGUGGAAAGGGCAAGUCAUUCAGUGCUCUUGGAGUUCAAGUUCCAGGAGGGGAGGAGGGGAUGCUGAGGACAGAGAAGGGACAGAGAGCAGCAGAGUAUGGAUUGAUUGAUGGCCCCCUUGAGCAGCCUGGGCCUUAGCCUGGAGGCAGUGAGGAGUCAUUGACAUUGUUUGAGCUGGGAAGGGACACAGGCGAAUCAAUACUUUUACAAAGUGGCUGUGGUCACAGCGCAGAGGCCAUGUUACAAAAGCUGGAGAGGAGGCUGGGAGUCUUCGUGGGAGACUUCUUAAUUGGUACCCAAAGGGGAUGCUGAAUGCCUUGAUGGGUCAGCUUAGAACUCAUUCGUUCCACCAUAGUUCAGCCCAUUAUCAGUGAAGGUGGGAUUUAUGUGAGACACGUCCAGAGGGGGAAUGUAAGAGAACAGUGAGGUGGACGGGACAGUGUCUGUGGAAGUGAGAAGGAGCAGGACACGGGGGGAUUGUCCUAGAAAGGGAGACCUGGUGGAAAAAGAAGCAGGAAGAUAGGGUUUUAUGCAUGAAGGAGUAAGACGAGGAAAGGGAAAGGGGAGCAUCAUCGAGAAAGAGAAAAACUAGUGCUGGAGAGAGUGUGGAGAAAAGAGAACCCUCCUACCACUACUGAAGGGAAUGUAAAUUGGUGCAGCCACUAUGGAGAGCAGUAUGGAGAUUCCUUCAAACACUGAACAUAGAGUUACCAUAUGAUCCAGCAAUCCCACUUGUGGGCAUAUAUCUGGAAAAAACCCAAUUCAAAAAGAUACACACACUUCUGUGUUCAUAGUACC